RNAcentral lists this long non-coding RNA (822 nucleotides) under Mytilus galloprovincialis (Mediterranean mussel). Lineage: Eukaryota; Metazoa; Mollusca; Bivalvia; Mytilida; Mytilidae. The record is from RNAcentral.
AGUUUAUGUUAAAUGGCGACAUCCUCUCAAAGUUGUGGAGUUUGUGACCUCCGUCACAUCACAAAACCAUCCAUAGUCUGGUGUACAGAAUGUGACGAGGGACUCUGUACAGAAUGCCAGGAACAUCAUGGUCUGUCUAAAGCAUCCAGAAGACAUAAAGUGAUUCCUAUUAUUGAAUACCAGAAAUUACCACCCGAUGUUCUUAAAAUUACUCAGUAUUGUAGCAAACACGAUGAAAAGUUUCAAAUUUAUUGCAAGAAGCAUGAAUGUCCCUGCUGCAGCAAGUGCAUAGUGGAAAGCCAUUCAGAAUGUCGGGAUAUCGUAAAUUUAGAUGACGUCAUUCAUAAUGUCAAAACCUCCAAUGCCUUGUGCGAGAUAGAGGAAACAUUAGUUGAAGUUGCAGAAAAUCUACAAAAAGUUCGUCAGCAUAUACAAGACAAUCGAUCGAAUUUAAAAGAUAAGAGAAUGGAAAUAGAAAAAGAAAUAAAGAAGACCCGAAUAAUGAUCAACCACCAUCUCGACAAACUACAAGAAGAUUUUCUGAAAAAACUCUUUGAGGUCGAAGAAAAAGAUAACUCGAAAAUUUGUCAAUUAGUUUCAUCCUUAGAGAUAAAGGAAAAAGAAAUAGCAGAAUACCAGAGAAAUGUUUCGAACAUCAAGCAACAUGCGACGGACCUUCAGUUGUUUCUUUCAAUGAAGCAGAUAGAAAAAGACGUAAAUAGCAAAGAUAAAUUCCUGCAAUCGACCGUAGAAAGCGAGGUACAAGUUUUUCUUUCAUAUAAGAUGAACACAGCUAUCCAGAAAAUCAUGUCCGAUGUAAAA